UUAGGUCCUUGAUCUUUGAUCAUGUCAAAGGCAUUCCAUUGGAGUGUCCACGACAUUGUUGGGGUCAAGCUAUCUACUCAUGUAGGCAUAUGAAUGUACAACAAGGGAUCUCUAACCUUCCAUGGUGGAAGGAGAAUACUCUAAGAUAUGAUUCGGAAGUUUUUGGCCAAAGCGUAUGAAUAUGACUUAGGAAGUUUUUUCCAAAUCAUAUUCAAUCGAAUCAUAUAGAGAAGUAUCACAUUGGAUAGUAGACAUGAAACAAACUAUCAUUCAAACAAUGUGAUUAAGAGUAUUGUAUUAGAAAAGGACAGUAUUGCAUUGUAAUUGUAACUGGAUAGGUUCUCCAACCACUUAUACUUAGCUUGGGUAACCAUGACAUACUGCUAGGUGUCACUCAUGGUUUGUGGAAGCCCUAAUGAUUAGCAAACACUAAUUUCAAGGGAGAAUUGAAAUGUGGUUUCAAUUCACAAUCAAUCGUUAAGAGUAACAAUCGCCCACUGCCUCGCUAAUUGGAACCUAAUGGAUCGUACACCGAGUAAGGGUGAAAGUGAAGAAAUAUAAAUGAGAUGGAUAAGCAAUUAAAUGGGUUAAUUGAGAAUGGUCAAGAUUAAUUAAUUAGUUAAUUAAUUUUACGAAAGGUUCGUAUAGGGCUUUUAAGUUGGUUUUGGGCUUCGGGGCUCAAAAGCGUUUUAGUCCACAAGGCCCAUUAUGUUCAAGUUGUAUGACAACUAAAACAAAAUGGGCAAUUAAGCCAAUAACAAAGGUAAGGCCGGCCAUAAGGGUGAGGGUAGCAAACUUGGAUUAAUUACAAGUUUGCCACUCACUUGAAAUGAAGUAUAAAAGGAACUUUAUAGCUUCAUUUCUCAUUAGGGUUUUUCUUGGUGAAAUGAGGUGAAACACUUUCUCUCUAUUUCUCUAAAGAG
Molecule: long non-coding RNA, 923 nt
Filed under: Malus domestica (apple)
Lineage: Eukaryota; Viridiplantae; Streptophyta; Magnoliopsida; Rosales; Rosaceae
Description: long non-coding RNA (MDOM_LNC000310)
Source: RNAcentral